RNAcentral lists this transfer RNA (71 nucleotides) under Strabomantis biporcatus (Puerto Cabello robber frog). Its description in RNAcentral is "tRNA-Ile". Lineage: Eukaryota; Metazoa; Chordata; Amphibia; Anura; Strabomantidae. The record is from RNAcentral.
GGAAGCGUGCCCGAAAGAUUAGGGCCCCCCUUGAUGAGGGGGUCAUAGGGGUUUGAACCCCCUCACUUCCC